This 361-nucleotide unclassified non-coding RNA is filed under the name Hevea brasiliensis (rubber tree). Lineage: Eukaryota; Viridiplantae; Streptophyta; Magnoliopsida; Malpighiales; Euphorbiaceae. The record is from RNAcentral.
GGAUCCCGUCCUCGCAUCAAGCGGUCGGAGGAGAUCCUCCUCUCGAGGGUACAGAGCGGGCUCGUAUGCCGGGAAGUGCCUGUAAAGGAGACUUGCAAGCUUAUUCGCUCUGAGGAUGAGAACGGGAAUAAGAUGAUUAAUGAAUACGUUCGGGAACGGAAGAUUGGUUCCGGCAGCUACGGCAAAGUGGUUCUGUAUCGGAACACUAAAGAUGGGAAGGAGUAUGCGAUGAAGGUUUUCCACAAAUCACAUUUAUUAAGGUUAAGAGUGGCGCCUUCGGAAACUGCCAUGACUGACGUUCUCAGGGAGGUUUCCAUCAUGAAAAUUUUGGACCAUCCCAAUAUAGUUAACCUCAUUGAGG